RNAcentral lists this long non-coding RNA (702 nucleotides) under Homo sapiens (human). RNAcentral describes it as "GRK3 antisense RNA 1, transcript variant 16 (GRK3-AS1)". Lineage: Eukaryota; Metazoa; Chordata; Mammalia; Primates; Hominidae. The record is from RNAcentral.
CACUAGCGCUCUGCGCGCGCCGCAGGCUGUAGCCGGCCGGGGUCGCAGCACGCCUCCCCGCUCCGCCCCCUCGCGCGCCGCCCGGCGCCCCGCGCACGCGCGCCGCCCCCUGCUCCUUCAGCGAGGGUCUGCGGGGAGCGCGCGUCCAACGCAGGUAAUGAUGAAACUCCUGCUCUGGUCCGGGCUACCGGUGAACAGCGCCCAGCGGGCCGGGCCCCCAACCUCGCUCCUGAGCCUGAACAUCCCCCCAACCCCACCGUGAGAAUUCAGCGAAGAGUAAAAGCUGGAAAAAGUUGCGUGUCUUAGGCUAAGCAGAACAAAGUGGGGUGACGGCUCCCCGGCUAGGAACAGAGAUGCCCUUAGGGAGCCCUCUGAUGGAAGAGCUCUCCGCUUAAGAAGGUCACCACUCCCUUACACUCAGCCCCCCUCAAUCUGAUUCCCUGCUAUGCCUGCCAUCACCACUGGCCAGUUUUACCACAUGCUUCUCAAGACCCAAGGCACAAUAGGCAUAAAGUUGUCCUGAAAAGGACAAGAGGAGUGUCAGAAGUAGGAAUGGCAGUUGAAGGAGCUUCGUCUGCCAGCAGAAAGCUGAAAUGACAGGAAGACAGAAUGUCUUGUCAAGGGUCACCCCAGGAGGAGGAGUAAAUUCCCCAAAAAGCGGAACAUAUUUUUAUGAUUUAAUUAAUACAAUUUCUCUCAAUG